UAUUAGGUUGGUGCAAAAGUAAUUGCGGUUUCUGCCAUUACUUUCAAAUGACACAAACCGCAUUUACUUUUGCACCAACUUAAUAC
RNAcentral lists this microRNA precursor (86 nucleotides) under Gorilla gorilla gorilla (western lowland gorilla). RNAcentral's name for it is "miRNA (ENSGGOG00000029715.2)". Lineage: Eukaryota; Metazoa; Chordata; Mammalia; Primates; Hominidae. The record is from RNAcentral.